UCGGGAAUUUUGGGCAAUGGGCGAAAGCCUGACCCAGCAACGCCGCGUGAAGGAUGAAGUAUUUCGGUAUGUAAACUUCGAAAGAAUAGGAAGAAUAAAUGACGGUACUAUUUAUAAGGUCCGGCUAACUACGUGCCAGCAGCCGCGGUAAUACGUAGGGACCAAGCGUUGUUCGGAUUUACUGGGCGUAAAGGGCGCGUAGGCGGCAAUUCAAGUCAUCUGUGAAAUCUCCGGGCUUAACUCGGAACGGUCAGAUGAUACUGCUUUGCUAGAGUGCAGAAGGGGCAAUCGGAAUUCUUGGUGUAGCGGUGAAAUGCGUAGAUAUCAAGAGGAACACCUGAGGUGAAGACGGGUUGCUGGGCUGACACUGACGCUGAGGCGCGAAAGCCAGGGGAGCAAACGGGAUUAGAGACCCAAGUAGUCCCUGAGCGGGCUGGCAAGGCGCAU
RNAcentral lists this ribosomal RNA (447 nucleotides) under uncultured bacterium. RNAcentral's name for it is "bacterial SSU rRNA". It matches the Rfam family "Bacterial small subunit ribosomal RNA", at positions 355 to 825 of the family's 1533-position model. The record is from RNAcentral.